GGAGAGGUGGCAGAGUGGUCGAAUGCACCGCACUCGAAAUGCGGCAUAGGGGCAACCCUAUCGGGAGUUCGAAUCUCCCCCUCUCCGCCA
RNAcentral lists this transfer RNA (90 nucleotides) under Alsobacter sp. Its description in RNAcentral is "tRNA-Ser". It matches the Rfam family "tRNA". From Rfam's summary of the family: Transfer RNA (tRNA) molecules are approximately 80 nucleotides in length. Their secondary structure includes four short double-helical elements and three loops (D, anti-codon, and T loops). RNAcentral also lists the same sequence under 3 other names. Lineage: Bacteria; Pseudomonadati; Pseudomonadota; Alphaproteobacteria; Hyphomicrobiales; Alsobacteraceae. The record is from RNAcentral.